Non-coding RNA from Erythranthe guttata (spotted monkey flower), 1062 nucleotides. The record is from RefSeq and is a predicted model, not a curated record. Lineage: Eukaryota; Viridiplantae; Streptophyta; Magnoliopsida; Lamiales; Phrymaceae.
AUAUUCGAAUAUGACUACAAUGAUAUUCAACAGUAGUCAUAUUCGAAAAAUACAUAAAUAUGACUAUAGUCAUGUUGCUGCUACUGUACAUAUUUGAACUGUAUUUUCAGAUUUGGAAAAAAAGAAAAAAGAAGGAGAAAUUGAAAAAUACAUAAAUAAAAAAAUUGAUAAAAAAUCAUUAUAUACAUAUAUAUCGACUCCACUAACUCAAGUAUGAUGAUAGGCUCCCUCUCUCUCUCUAAUAUUUAAACACACACAAUCACAAUGAAAAAACCUUAAAUGCCAAAAGUAAUCAUGAGUUGCUGAGAAACUUCCAAGAACACGAAAACAGAAAGUAGCAAAAAAAAUCGAAUAGUCACAUUCGAACCAGACUGUAGUCACGUUGAUGUUGCUGCUUCAGAUCUGGAGAGAAAAAAAAAGAAAAAAAUCGAAAAUAACGAAAGGAAGGUGGUGUGAUGUGUAUGAGGCGACAACAUGAGUUUUUUGGGAGGUUUGACACCGUAGCAAGUCUUGACGGCAUUCGAACCAGACUGUAGCAAAAAAAAAAUCGAAUAGUCACAUUCGAACCAGACUGUAGUCACGUUGAUGUUGCUGCUUCAGAUCUGGAGAGAAAAAAAAAAGAAAAAAAUCGAAAAUAACGAAAGGAAGGUGGUGUGAUGUGUAUGAGGCGACAACAUGAGUUUUUUGGGAGGUUUGACACCGUAGCAAGUCUUGACGGCAUUCGAACCAGACUGUAGCAAAAAAAAAAUCGAAUAGUCACAUUCGAACCAGACUGUAGUCACGUUGAUGUUGCUGCUUCAGAUCUGGAGAGAAAAAAAAAAGAAAAAAAUCGAAAAUAACGAAAGGAAGGUGGUGUGAUGUGUAGGAGGCGACAACAUGAGUUUUUUGGGAGGUUUGACACCGUAGCAAGUCUUGACGGCACAACCCUAGACGGCGGCUGUGAUCUCGGUGGUUGGGUGAGUGGAUAAUGGCGGUGAUGUGAAAAGGAGGGAGGAGGGCGGCGACGCUGGUGUAAAUCUCAAAUGCAAGCGGCAGCGGCAGAUCUGCAAAGAAGAAUACGGA